Molecule: ribosomal RNA, 3591 nt
Filed under: Triticum aestivum (bread wheat)
Lineage: Eukaryota; Viridiplantae; Streptophyta; Magnoliopsida; Poales; Poaceae
Description: partial small subunit ribosomal RNA
Source: RNAcentral
AUGGGCUCGAGCCCCGCGGCCGUCGAGUCCCCGGAUCCGGGGGCGGACCGCGGCCUCAAGCAGGGUUCUGAUGCCGCGGGGCCGGCGGGAGAUUCCGAUGUGACCAUGGCGGAGGCCUCCGAGGAGGUGGCUGCUGCCGCUGAGGUCAAGGACGAGGGGGCCGCCCUGGCCCGGGAUGCCGCGCUGACGGCGGGUGCUGUCCGAGAUGCGCCAGAUGCUGUCCUGGAAGAGGCAGAUGCGGCGUCGGCGGCGGCGGUUGAUCCGUUGUACGCCACGGAGGCAGCUGGCAUGAUUAUUGCAGAAGGAUGUACCGAUGGUGAUUCCAUCAAUGGGCUUGGGCUUGGAAGCGUUAGCAGCGACAGCAAGGCUGGAGCUUUGACCGGCGAGCCUGAGUGGGAACUGGUCACAGCAGGAGAUGUUGCUGGUGCUUCUGCUACAUCUGAGCAAGCCGAAGCCGAAUCCAGUGAACUCGGAGAAUAUCAUGUCAAUGCAACCCCUGUGGCAGGACAUGAACGACAGGAUAAUGGUGUGGCACAUUUCGAGGAGGAAAUACAGAAUGGCUUGGCAAUUUCUGCUCAGUGCGCCAGAUACUGCCUUCCUCCUCUUGAUAAAGAAGGCUUUCAAGUUUCUGAUCUUGUCUGGGGUAAAGUAAAAGGUCACCCUUGGUGGCCUGGUGAGAUCUUUGAUCCUUCAAAUGCAUCUGAGCUGGCAUUGAAGCACCAGAAAAAGGAUAGUCAUUUGGUUGCAUAUUUUGGUGACAACACUUUUGCAUGGUGCGACGAAUCCCAGUUGAAGCCUUUUGUAACAGACUAUUCACAGAUGGAGAAACAGAGUAGUUUGGAUUCCUUUGUCGGUUCCGUCAAUUAUGCACUUGAAGAACUUUCAAGGCGGAUUUUGUCAGGGAUGAGCUGUGCUUGUCUGCCAGAAGAACUCUCUGACAGUGGAAUGUCAUAUAUGGUUGAGAAUGCUGGGCUCAAGGAUGGAGUUACUUGCUCAACAGUCAACCGGUCUGAGAUCUUGGCAUCUUUUAGUCCAGAAAGCCUUCUUCGUUAUGUUAGGUCGCUAGCUCUGUUCCCUGGCCAAGGUGGUGAUCUCCUAGAGUUAGUGAUAGCUUGUUCUCAACUUACAUCUUUCUAUCGAUCUAAGGGAUGCCCUGAACUUGCAUCCUUCCAGACCGGUAGUGCAUGGGUCGAGGAUGAUACGGAUACUUCUCCCAUUGAGGAUGUAGUGGUUGAGGAAGUUGUUGUCAUUGAAGUGCCUCCUCCAGAGGUCAAGCCCAAAAGAGGCAGGGGGAGACCUCGUAAACACAAGCCUGAGGAUAAACUGGAGUUGCCAGGGAAACAGAAGCCUGCAGUUGCAGCGGAAAGACAAAUGAUCAAGGACUUUGAUGAUAAGAAAAGAAGUCUUGACUCGUUUGAAGAUUUGGAUGCAAAGUCACCAACUGGUGGUUCUUUCAAGAUUGGAGAGUGCAUUAGGCGAGCUGCAAGCCAGCUGACCGGGCCUUCGUCCACUGUAAAGUCCCAGAAUGAAAAUACCGCUGAAGCAGAGAAUGCAGAAUUUGAUGUCUCUAGUGAUGAUGCUGCGAAUGAACUUACUGUGGAAAAGUGCGCAAAGAGGAGACGCUUGCAUAGCCAUCACCUUGCGGACCCCAAGGAGUUAUUCUCUCAGCUUUGCUCGGUUGCCAUAGAGCCAACUGAUGGAUACAACUUCUCGGCACUGACAAUCAGUUACUUCAGUGAUUUCAGGAAUUAUGUUGUCUCUGUUGCUACUGAAGCAAGCAUUAUCGAAAAAAGUACAUCAAAGAAGAGGAGAAAGAAGAGGGUUUUGCCUUCUCCUGAGCUAGAGACUACUGAUCAUAUGCAGGACUCCUACUGGUCUGGUUUGAGUUUGCUUAAUCACCCGAUUCAUAGCCUCAAAAGAGCUUCUACCAACACGAGGCCAAGGCGUAGGCGCAAGUCAUCACAUGAAACAGAUUUGUCCUCUGUACAGGAGCAGCAGGUGGCUCCUAAGAAAGAGAUACAAGUGGCUCCUAAGAAACAGAUACAAGUGGCUCCUAAGAAGCAGAUACAAGUGAUAGAAAGAUCAAUUAUCCAUGUUGACGAAAAGAUAGUCGACGAGUGGAAGCCCACUGCACUUGUUUUAAGCUUUGGCAGGUCAACUGAUCUUCUCUCAGAAACUGAUCUGAUCAAGAAAUUCGGUCGCUAUGGCCCACUAAAAGAAUCUGAAACUGAAGUACAAAAGAGCACAAAUACCAUUAAAAUUGUGUUCAAGAAACGUGCUGAUGCUGAAAAGGCUUUCAGCGCUGCUGGGAAGUAUGGCACUGUUGGUCCCUCGCUUCGUAGUUUUCGUCUAAUGAAUAUGCCGUUUUCUCUAGGAGAGUCAGAACCGAAUAAAUCUGAGGCAUGCCCUGGAGAUCAUGGCCCAAAGCUUCCUGGUCCAAGUGAGCCCAAAGCUUCACUGGAUGCUGUGAAAGAUAACCAGGUCGACAAAACUGAGAAAGCUGAAGCUGUACAGCCAUCAUCAGGUGAACAAGUUGAGACUGUCAAGAAAACAUGCCAAGCUGAACCUGUAAAGCAAUCAUCAGGUGCACAAGCUGACGCUGUUAAGAAAGCAGGAAAAAUUGCUGCUGAGCUAACUGGGCCAUCUGACCCAAUUGCAACAGCUGAUGUAGCUGAGCAAACAAUGGAAAAUCAAGCUCCAAAAGAUGCAGUUGAAAUUCCUUGUGAUGUGAAGCUGGAGGAUGAAGCAUUGACUGAAGAAUCUGUAGAUCAAGUUGUAACUGAGCAAGUCAAAGUUCCAUCAGAUGCUGUACCUGACACUUCAAAAGUUCAACCAGAAACACCAGUCGAACACGUGGGUACAGAAGCAGAAGCGGACACUGCUCAAGACCUAACUGAAGUGUCAGUUCAAGAAGCUGGGUUGAAAAAGCAAAUCCUGGAACCCAAAACUGCUGAAAUAGAACCGGAACAAGUCAGCUGUCCCAAGCAAACUGUUCAAGUGGAAGAUGUAAUCGAUGCAUCAGGUGGACACACCAAUGUGGACAGAAAAACUGCAGAAGAGAUAACUAUGACUGAAGUCGUGUUUGAGGGAGCUGUGGAGUCAGAAGCUGUAGCACCAGUUGAGGAAACUGUAGAAGAUAAAGCUACUGCAGGGACACUUGGGGAGGCACCAGGUGAUGAAAUGGAAAACACGGAUGCAGCUGAAUCACUGGGUGGGGAGGUUGGUGUAGGUGAAGCCACAGGCGAUUCACCAGAUGAGAGAGUUGCUGUUGAAGCACUUGCCGGUAUGUCCACCCAAGGUGAAACGGCUGCUGAAGCAGCUGAUGCUGAAAUUGCAACAACUGGGAAAACAGCAGAGGGUGUCGGUGUUAAAACUCGAGGUAAGAAGGCUACAGCAGCCAAGAAACCUGUAGAGAGUGCCACGGCUGAAGCACCAGGUAAGAAGGCUACAAAAGCCAAGAAACCAGUGGAGGAUGCCACAGUCGAAGCGCGGGAUGAGAAAGCUGCAACAGCCAAGAAAAGCGCAGAGGGUGCCACAGUCGAAGCGCCGGAUGAGAAAGCUAUGACAGCCAAGGAGGACGACAUGGCAUAG